UUGAAAUGUAUAUUUAUCCAUAUAUUAAUUUUUUUAUAAAGUGCACUAUUCUGAAUAAUUAUUAAUUAAUGUAACAUUUUCAUGAGCUAUCUUUGUUUGCACUUGUUAGGUCUAGUUGUAUAAUGAUUUGUUUAUUCAAAAACCAUCAAUAAACAAAAUAGGUACAUGUUAUCUUCAAAUCGAGUAAAUAUCCGAUGGAUAUCCAAAUUCGAGAAAUUCUUUUUGUAUUUGUAUUCGAGAACAUC
Molecule: long non-coding RNA, 245 nt
Filed under: Setaria viridis
Lineage: Eukaryota; Viridiplantae; Streptophyta; Magnoliopsida; Poales; Poaceae
Description: long non-coding RNA (SVIR_LNC001418)
Source: RNAcentral